Molecule: long non-coding RNA, 507 nt
Organism: Pseudophryne corroboree (corroboree frog)
Lineage: Eukaryota; Metazoa; Chordata; Amphibia; Anura; Myobatrachidae
Exons: 3
Source: RefSeq, a predicted model, not a curated record
GUUCCUAUGACACGAUUUAUCACCUGGUGAGCGCGGCGCCUGGCGGCCGGGUCUAGCGGGUUGUGGAGGCACCACUCUGUUGAGUGUGUGCCUGCUAGUUAAUCUAGUGCUUGUAGCGUUUCAUACCCAGUAGGAGAAUUAUGCAGGUCACACACGGCACUUCCGGUCACUUCCGGUCCGGGAAGCUUAAAUAGCAGUCCCAGUUCUGUGAGUAAUGAUGCAGCACAGGGACGAAUUGCACCUCUCCCCACCAGUAUCAUUUGGCAAAGAGAUUUGCAGAGUGUCGGGUGACCGGCAAAGAGAUCUGCAAAGUGUCAUUUGAAGACGACGGGAGGGGUUGCAGAGGUAGCAAUGACUGGAGUAUAACAUGCAGGAGAUCAUCAUUUGGCAAAGUUCUGGCAAAGAGAUUUGCAGAGUGUCGGGUGACCGUCAAAGAGAUCUGCAAAGUGUCAGUUAAAGACGACGGGAGGGGUCGCAGAGGAAUUAGUGACUGGAGAAUAGCAUGCA